Molecule: non-coding RNA, 3386 nt
Organism: Sus scrofa (pig)
Lineage: Eukaryota; Metazoa; Chordata; Mammalia; Artiodactyla; Suidae
Source: RefSeq, a predicted model, not a curated record
AAUAGCAGAAAGCCAUUUGGACUGAGAGUGGGGGAGUUGGCUUCCGGCCAUGCUCUGCCACUUUUUUCUGUGACCUUGGGAAAAGCAUCUCAAGUCUCAAUGCCCAGUUUGUGAAGAAAAACGAUAGAACAAAGUGCAUUUUCUGUGCAUUUUCUCCCUACUCCGAAAUUGAUGUCUCUGAGUUACGAGAACUGGAGUUUCCCAAAGCCCAGGAACUUUUGUUUUUCUUCACCAUUCUUGAUGAGAAUAAUUACAGUGAACUUUCCAGUGCAUUUUUUUUUUUUUAAAGGAAAAAAGGCGUCUUUUCUCUCCUCUUCGAGCAUCAUCAAGAUUUACUCUGCCCUCUAAUAGUUGCCUGGGUCGAAUUUUCCAACUUGACACAAAGCCGCUUGACAUGGUUGCAACUAAUCCCUUCUCUGUGUACCCCUAAAUUAACCAGAGGAACUGGAAGAGUCAGACUGUGUGUGGGAAGACUGGAAAAUAAGGAAGGUAUAGAAACCACUGGAGAUAAACAUUCUGGCAAAUUAUCUUGGUGUAUGGCUGAUGCGGAAUGGUUAGGCAGUUGGGAAGGUAGAUAAGAGAAAGGCUCUAAAUGCUUCAUCUAAUUGUAAACAGCUGUUGAUUGGUGGAGCCUGACCAACUGUUUUUAAUUCCACUCAGUGUUGAUGAAGAGAAUAAGACUUAAAGGAAAAUGGCAAGGGCCGGGUGUGUGCAUGAAGUUGUGCUUGCGCCUUUUUUUUUUUUUUUUUUUUAGCAGUCAUAGAGUGCAGUCAAAGGUGCUUUUUGAAAUCAUGGCAGGCUUUCAGGAUCAUGAUUUUCUUAAAUUUUACCAGCAUUUGUUGGGCCUUUGGCUGUAGGCGGACUUCUCUGUUAUCCACAGUCUGGAGUGAUUUUUCAUGGGGAGUGAUUCAUCUCCAAUGGUCUCUUGAUGUCAGAAAGAUGGGUCACUUCUCGGGUCCAGUUGUUGGAUGGAACGUCCAUGACCACAGCUGUGCCCAGGGAUUCUGAUAGACUCCUUAAGAGGCAGCAGGCAUGUUUAACAAGAAGAUGUCUCUAUUUUGCUGUGCCUCUGACCCUCAGGCUGCCUGCAGACAGAUGGUCUCAGACAGAUGUGCGCUUUGCAAUUGUUGGAGCCCAUUUGUAUGAAAAGAGAUCUGAAUUCUAGGACUUUCCAAGAGCCAGUUUUACAGCCAAGUAAUUUUACCAAGGACCAGGGGAAACUAGUCAUUCUGACUUUCACCAUUCUGACCAGAGCAUCGACUACUGAAUUAUCAAUUUCACAUAAGAACUGAAUUUUUCCAGGCUUGAUCUAGCACCCUGAUAAAAUCAAUCUAUCCUGCCUUUAUCCAGACUCUGACUGCCAGAAAAUUUAGGAAGAUUUUGCAAUGGGAAUCUAGAACGGAUCCUUUCUAUCUCUGGAGACUAGUCAGGUAUUUUCUCUAGUAGCUACUCAUAGUCCUCCCCAAAUAUUAAAUGAAUUAACGUGCUCCCAUAAUCACUGUGGAAUAAUUUACCUCUAUUAAAUCUCCACCGGAGUUAGUAGAUGGAGUUGAAAUCCUACUCUAUCAAAUAGUUAUAGCAAACAAAAGCAAAAUGAACCAAACAAAAACCCCCAGCAGCAAUUACACAAAUCCAGAUUUCAAUGAAGUAUAAAUCUGAUCUUUUACUUUAUAAACAGGUUACAGGUUUGAUUAUUCAUAUUUAAUAUCCAAGCUGUGCUUUCUUUGGUUCCAAACCACCAGGAAAAACAUAUACUGCUUAUUUCAUAAGAUAAAUUCUUUGUAUACAAUAUCUCACUAUUUGUAACUGUAUCUAUUACUAUAAAAUAUAAAAGUAGGUAUACUUCUUAUUUGGCAGAUGGGAAAAUACAGUUUCACUGAAGAAUAUAGCCAGUCAGGCAGAGUUUGAGGAUUAGAAUUAGUUUCCCAUUUUUCCUAGUCCUGACAUGAACUAUAAAAAAACAUGGAAUUGGAUUUCUUUUUUCACUUUGUCUACCAAGAAUUUCAUCUGGAGCUUGAUUUGCAUAAUUGUGAGAGCUUCAGCUGGCAAUUACGCUUUCCCUAUUCCUUUUGCCUCGACAUUCUAUUCUUAUAUGUAUUAUUUUUGCCUCUGAAUUUCUAAGAUGAUUUAUAUGUAAAAGUUUUGGUUCGGGGGUUGCUUUUAAGUCAUUUCAACUCUGCUGGGUGAUUCUAAAGGGAAGAGAAGGAAGAGAAUACGCUGUGAGGAAAAUGAAGGUAAGAGAGGGGAGAGGAAUGGAAGAGAGCUGGGGAAGUGGAGUUCACGUGAAGAUUUUAUCUUCAAGGAGGAUUUUCCGGUUUUUGGUUAGGAAUUGGCUGUGGUCCAGCAUGGCUUUGGAACAACUUCUCUCCCUCCUCCUCUUCUCUCUUCUCUCCCCUUCUCUUGCCUUUCCUCCUUCAAAUCCAGCAGAGGCAGACCGUCAGCAUGGCUGCUCACUAUUAUCAUUAGAGUAUCUAUUCUCCCUUAUUUGGCAGGAGGAGAAUCCCUCAGAGGCCCAAAGAGCAAUGUAUUGUUCACACGAUUCAAUGACCAAGGGAGCCCUUGGUGAAGGAGGAAGGAAACUUGCUGUGUCAGAACUCUUGGUUCUACUAGUGCUGGGAAUAUUUCUUGCCUUUUCUUUUUGGGGUUUGGGUCUGUCAUUCCUCAUCUGCCCUCACACGUCACGUACACAUGAAUCUGUGUCAUCCAGUGCAGUCUGCAUGGCACCUCCCCCCCGCCCCCCCCCCAAGAAGCCAGCUGAACUUAUUGCUCUUGUCACUCCUGCGUUUGUUACUCUGCAGGCCAGCUGGAUUGUCAGACUUGCCCAUGAAGCAUGUCAGUUUCUUGCCUGUGAGUACAUUAACCCCAUCUGAAAAAAAAAGUGCUUCAAGAGUUGAUUACCAAGGAUCUGCUUAUUCAAUAACUCAACAAGGGAAAAGUAAAUGGCUUUAAAAUGUGAUGUUAUCAAAGGGUCUAAUCAUGCUUAUUACUUGCCGCUACUACAUGAUCAGCUCCUCUUUCUUUCUUUCUUUCUUUUUUUUUUUUUUUUGCUAAAGUUGAUGACACUAAAUGCAUCUGUAAUCAAUCCAUUUUUUUAUCAUUUUCUUUAAAGCUUUAAAAAAUAAGUCAAAUGAAAAACGUGAUACCCUUUGCAAUUGCAUUGUACUAUCACAGCUUAAGCUCUAUGGGGAGAACCUUCCUUCUCCAACUUUUGCAACACUUAAUUGUUCUUAUCUGUCACAUUUGACCCAAAGACACUCCUGCCACCCCCACAAUAUAACAGUCGAAAGAGAAGAUUAACAUUAUUGUUAUCUUAAGUCCAUUGCAAUGACCUCCUGGUUUCUACAUAGGAACUCACCUUGCAGACUUUCUACCCUGCCCUGCUUACC